GACGAACGCUGGCGGCGUGCUUAACACAUGCAAGUCGAACGAAAAGGCCAUGCUUUUGUGGGGUGCUCGUUUGGCGAGCGGGGGAGUGACACGUGUGUAAACUCCCCUUGAAUUUGGGGUAAAUUCAGGAAACUGGGGCUAAUACCGGAUAGGAGCUCCUGCUGCAUGGUGGGGGUUGGUAAGUUUCGGCGGUUGGGGAUGGAAUAGCGGCUUAUCAGCUUGUUGGUGGGGUAGUGGCUUACCAGGGCUUUGACGGGUAGCCGGCCUGAGAGGGUGACCGGCGACAUUGGGCCUAAGAUAGGCCCCAGAAGCCAACGUGAGGCAGCAGUGGGGAACCUGACACAAUGGCGGGAAGCGUGAGGUAACAACGCCGCGAGCGGGAUGACGUCUUACGGGUUGUAAACAGCUGUGGCAGUAGCUGAAGAGGUAGUGACGGUAAUUGGUAAAGAAGCAACGGCUAACUACGUG
This 468-nucleotide ribosomal RNA is filed under the name uncultured bacterium. Its description in RNAcentral is "partial 16S ribosomal RNA". It matches the Rfam family "Bacterial small subunit ribosomal RNA", at positions 28 to 507 of the family's 1533-position model. The record is from RNAcentral.